RNAcentral lists this ribosomal RNA (2927 nucleotides) under Escherichia coli. Its description in RNAcentral is "bacterial LSU rRNA". It matches the Rfam family "Bacterial large subunit ribosomal RNA". The record is from RNAcentral. Lineage: Bacteria; Pseudomonadati; Pseudomonadota; Gammaproteobacteria; Enterobacterales; Enterobacteriaceae.
GGGUUGUGAGGUUAAGCGACUAAGCGUACACGGUGGAUGCCCUGGCAGUCAGAGGCGAUGAAGGACGUGCUAAUCUGCGAUAAGCGUCGGUAAGGUGAUAUGAACCGUUAUAACCGGCGAUUUCCGAAUGGGGAAACCCAGUGUGAUUCGUCACACUAUCAUUAACUGAAUCCAUAGGUUAAUGAGGCGAACCGGGGGAACUGAAACAUCUAAGUACCCCGAGGAAAAGAAAUCAACCGAGAUUCCCCCAGUAGCGGCGAGCGAACGGGGAGCAGCCCAGAGCCUGAAUCAGUGUGUGUGUUAGUGGAAGCGUCUGGAAAGGCGCGCGAUACAGGGUGACAGCCCCGUACACAAAAAUGCACAUGCUGUGAGCUCGAUGAGUAGGGCGGGACACGUGGUAUCCUGUCUGAAUAUGGGGGGACCAUCCUCCAAGGCUAAAUACUCCUGACUGACCGAUAGUGAACCAGUACCGUGAGGGAAAGGCGAAAAGAACCCCGGCGAGGGGAGUGAAAAAGAACCUGAAACCGUGUACGUACAAGCAGUGGGAGCACAGAGCAAUCUGUGUGACUGCGUACCUUUUGUAUAAUGGGUCAGCGACUUAUAUUCUGUAGCAAGGUUAACCGAAUAGGGGAGCCGAAGGGAAACCGAGUCUUAACUGGGCGUUAAGUUGCAGGGUAUAGACCCGAAACCCGGUGAUCUAGCCAUGGGCAGGUUGAAGGUUGGGUAACACUAACUGGAGGACCGAACCGACUAAUGUUGAAAAAUUAGCGGAUGACUUGUGGCUGGGGGUGAAAGGCCAAUCAAACCGGGAGAUAGCUGGUUCUCCCCGAAAGCUAUUUAGGUAGCGCCUCGUGAAUUCAUCUCCGGGGGUAGAGCACUGUUUCGGCAAGGGGGUCAUCCCGACUUACCAACCCGAUGCAAACUGCGAAUACCGGAGAAUGUUAUCACGGGAGACACACGGCGGGUGCUAACGUCCGUCGUGAAGAGGGAAACAACCCAGACCGCCAGCUAAGGUCCCAAAGUCAUGGUUAAGUGGGAAACGAUGUGGGAAGGCCCAGACAGCCAGGAUGUUGGCUUAGAAGCAGCCAUCAUUUAAAGAAAGCGUAAUAGCUCACUGGUCGAGUCGGCCUGCGCGGAAGAUGUAACGGGGCUAAACCAUGCACCGAAGCUGCGGCAGCGACGCUUAUGCGUUGUUGGGUAGGGGAGCGUUCUGUAAGCCUGCGAAGGUGUGCUGUGAGGCAUGCUGGAGGUAUCAGAAGUGCGAAUGCUGACAUAAGUAACGAUAAAGCGGGUGAAAAGCCCGCUCGCCGGAAGACCAAGGGUUCCUGUCCAACGUUAAUCGGGGCAGGGUGAGUCGACCCCUAAGGCGAGGCCGAAAGGCGUAGUCGAUGGGAAACAGGUUAAUAUUCCUGUACUUGGUGUUACUGCGAAGGGGGGACGGAGAAGGCUAUGUUGGCCGGGCGACGGUUGUCCCGGUUUAAGCGUGUAGGCUGGUUUUCCAGGCAAAUCCGGAAAAUCAAGGCUGAGGCGUGAUGACGAGGCACUACGGUGCUGAAGCAACAAAUGCCCUGCUUCCAGGAAAAGCCUCUAAGCAUCAGGUAACAUCAAAUCGUACCCCAAACCGACACAGGUGGUCAGGUAGAGAAUACCAAGGCGCUUGAGAGAACUCGGGUGAAGGAACUAGGCAAAAUGGUGCCGUAACUUCGGGAGAAGGCACGCUGAUAUGUAGGUGAAGUCCCUCGCGGAUGGAGCUGAAAUCAGUCGAAGAUACCAGCUGGCUGCAACUGUUUAUUAAAAACACAGCACUGUGCAAACACGAAAGUGGACGUAUACGGUGUGACGCCUGCCCGGUGCCGGAAGGUUAAUUGAUGGGGUUAGCGCAAGCGAAGCUCUUGAUCGAAGCCCCGGUAAACGGCGGCCGUAACUAUAACGGUCCUAAGGUAGCGAAAUUCCUUGUCGGGUAAGUUCCGACCUGCACGAAUGGCGUAAUGAUGGCCAGGCUGUCUCCACCCGAGACUCAGUGAAAUUGAACUCGCUGUGAAGAUGCAGUGUACCCGCGGCAAGACGGAAAGACCCCGUGAACCUUUACUAUAGCUUGACACUGAACAUUGAGCCUUGAUGUGUAGGAUAGGUGGGAGGCUUUGAAGUGUGGACGCCAGUCUGCAUGGAGCCGACCUUGAAAUACCACCCUUUAAUGUUUGAUGUUCUAACGUGGACCCGUAAUCCGGGUUGCGGACAGUGUCUGGUGGGUAGUUUGACUGGGGCGGUCUCCUCCUAAAGAGUAACGGAGGAGCACGAAGGUUGGCUAAUCCUGGUCGGACAUCAGGAGGUUAGUGCAAUGGCAUAAGCCAGCUUGACUGCGAGCGUGACGGCGCGAGCAGGUGCGAAAGCAGGUCAUAGUGAUCCGGUGGUUCUGAAUGGAAGGGCCAUCGCUCAACGGAUAAAAGGUACUCCGGGGAUAACAGGCUGAUACCGCCCAAGAGUUCAUAUCGACGGCGGUGUUUGGCACCUCGAUGUCGGCUCAUCACAUCCUGGGGCUGAAGUAGGUCCCAAGGGUAUGGCUGUUCGCCAUUUAAAGUGGUACGCGAGCUGGGUUUAGAACGUCGUGAGACAGUUCGGUCCCUAUCUGCCGUGGGCGCUGGAGAAUUGAGGGGGGCUGCUCCUAGUACGAGAGGACCGGAGUGGACGCAUCACUGGUGUUCGGGUUGUCAUGCCAAUGGCACUGCCCGGUAGCUAAAUGCGGAAGAGAUAAGUGCUGAAAGCAUCUAAGCACGAAACUUGCCCCGAGAUGAGUUCUCCCUGACUCCUUGAGAGUCCUGAAGGAACGUUGAAGACGACGACGUUGAUAGGCCGGGUGUGUAAGCGCAGCGAUGCGUUGAGCUAACCGGUACUAAUGAACCGUGAGGCUUAACCUUACAACGCCGAAG